Molecule: long non-coding RNA, 1075 nt
Organism: Cyprinodon variegatus (sheepshead minnow)
Lineage: Eukaryota; Metazoa; Chordata; Actinopteri; Cyprinodontiformes; Cyprinodontidae
Exons: 3
Source: RefSeq, a predicted model, not a curated record
GCAUGGAGGAGGAUCUUGAAGCCUUCCUUCGUUCAAGGCAUGUUACAGAAGAUGACAUAAAUCGGAUGAAAGUGGAUAAGAUUGAUAGAGGGGUCAUUUGUGUGAUGACGGACGAAGAAUUUUCAAGAUACAUUCCUUCAUAUGGCGACCGAUUGGCUAUUGCAUCAUUUUGUCGACGAAUGGAAGCUAACUUUGACAAGGAGGGCAUUUUAAACAGAAUUAGGCAAACAAUUGAAACAAGGCGAAUGAUGAGCAAAAGACAUGUCAAAGUACCCCAGCAAACAUCUGUAGGAAAUUCUGGCUUGAUGGCAAGGCCUAAAAACAGCAACGCGGUGAAAUCAAAACGCAGAAUUGAAGUGGGAUGGCUGCACUUUCAAAGCGGGGAUUUUCACCAAGUUAGGUCUAAAUGUGGAGGUGGAACCAGACACCUUGAAAUGGAGAAAACCACCACUGUCAGAAGUCAUGACCACUGCAAAAGAGUUGUUUUUUCCUGGUGGACUAUCAUCAAAGGGCUCCAUUAUGGACUUCACACUUAGCAUGUGUGACUUUAAAAGACAAGCUGUACCUCUAGACAGUACUCUUUCAGAACUAUAUGAACAAUUUAAAUUGAAAAUGGUACGGCUUUAUUUGUGCACAAAGGAGUUGGAGCAUUCAUCCGAUGACCAAAAUGAUCUCUUUGAACAGCCUCCCAAUGUUGGAAGAGUUGCUCAACACUCAACUUCUGCCCCUUCUGCUGAGCCAUUAACUUCAAUGAAGUCUUUGCAAGGCUAUACCUCAGGGGAAGCGGGGCACUCAAGCCAGUACCUUAUCACAGAUGAAGCAUUGUUGAGUCCACAACACAGAGCUUUACCAGAUGGAACUGAAGGUCAUGAUCCUGUGUAUGUCAUUGAUGAUGAUGUGGAACUUUUACAUCCUGCCUUGCAUUCAACACCUGGUCCUUCAAACCAGGAAACUGAGUAUUUCUAUGGAAUUCAUAGUAUGGAAAACCCAGUGGUAAUGCAAGAAACCGAAACAGUGAUGGCCAACUUCAACAGCGUUAAUGGUCUGGAUGAGAUGGAGGAUUCUGGAGUAGUAC